AGAGUUUGAUCCUGGCUCAGAUUGAACGCUGGCGGCAUGCUUUACACAUGCAAGUCGAACGGCAGCACGGGCUUCGGCCUGGUGGCGAGUGGCGAACGGGUGAGUAAUGCGUCGGAACGCGCCGAGUAGUGGGGGAUAACGCAGCGAAAGCUGUGCUAAUACCGCAUACGUACUGAGGUAGAAAGUGGGGGACCUUCGGGCCUCACGCUAUUCGAGCGGCCGACGUCUGAUUAGCUAGUUGGUGGGGUAAAGGCUCACCAAGGCGACGAUCAGUAGCGGGUCUGAGAGGAUGAUCCGCCACACUGGGACUGAGACACGGCCCAGACUCCUACGGGAGGCAGCAGUGGGGAAUUCUGGACAAUGGGCGCAAGCCUGAUCCAGCCAUGCCGCGUGUCUGAAGAAGGCCUUCGGGUUGUAAAGGACUUUUGUCCGGGAGCAAAGCCUACUUGUU
This 451-nucleotide ribosomal RNA is filed under the name uncultured bacterium. Its description in RNAcentral is "bacterial SSU rRNA". It matches the Rfam family "Bacterial small subunit ribosomal RNA", at positions 8 to 461 of the family's 1533-position model. The record is from RNAcentral.